UACGUAGGUGGCAAGCGUUGUCCGGAAUUAUUGGGCGUAAAGCGCGCGCAGGCGGUCCUUUAAGUCUGAUGUGAAAGCCCACGGCUCAACCGUGGAGGGUCAUUGGAAACUGGGGGACUUGAGUACAGAAGAGAAGAGUGGAAUUCCACGUGUAGCGGUGAAAUGCGUAGAUAUCGAGAGGAACACCAGUGGCGAAGGCGAGUCCCUGGACAACUUCUGACGCUGAGGCACGAAAGCUAGGGGAGCAAACAGG
This 253-nucleotide ribosomal RNA is filed under the name uncultured bacterium. Its description in RNAcentral is "partial 16S ribosomal RNA". It matches the Rfam family "Bacterial small subunit ribosomal RNA", at positions 524 to 776 of the family's 1533-position model. The record is from RNAcentral.